UACGGAGGGUGCGAGCGUUGUCCGGAAUCACUGGGCGUAAAGCGCGCGUAGGCGGCUUUGUAAGUUAGAGGUGAAAGCGCGGAGCUCAACUCCGGAACUGCCUUUAAGACUGCAUCGCUUGAAUCCAGGAGAGGUGAGUGGAAUUCCGAGUGUAGAGGUGAAAUUCGUAGAUAUUCGGAAGAACACCAGUGGCGAAGGCGGCUCACUGGACUGGUAUUGACGCUGAGGUGCGAAAGCGUGGGGAGCAAACAGG
RNAcentral lists this ribosomal RNA (253 nucleotides) under uncultured bacterium. RNAcentral's name for it is "partial 16S ribosomal RNA". It matches the Rfam family "Bacterial small subunit ribosomal RNA", at positions 524 to 776 of the family's 1533-position model. The record is from RNAcentral.